This is a non-coding RNA of Salmo salar (Atlantic salmon), 303 nucleotides long. The record is from RefSeq and is a predicted model, not a curated record. NCBI's taxonomy places the organism in Eukaryota, Metazoa, Chordata, Actinopteri, Salmoniformes, Salmonidae.
AAAAUAAUCUCCAUUAUCUCCGUAUUAAACCAUCUGACGGACAUGUUCUAAGAACUGAUAACUAGAGAGGUUAAAUGUUCUAAGAACUGAUAACUAGAGAGGUUAAAUGUUCUAACUGAUAACUAGAGAGGUUAAAUGUUCUAACUGAUAACUAGAGGUUAAAUGUUCUAACUGAUAACUAGAGAGGUUAAAUGUUCUAACUGAUAACUAGAGAGGUUAAAUGUUCUAACUGAUAACUAGAGAGGUUAAAUGUUCUAACUGAUAACUAGAGAGGUUAAAUGUUCUAACUGAUAACUAGAGAGG